Molecule: ribosomal RNA, 805 nt
Filed under: uncultured bacterium
Lineage: Bacteria
Description: bacterial SSU rRNA
Rfam family: Bacterial small subunit ribosomal RNA
Source: RNAcentral
UNUGACUUGUGUGCAGAAGGGGAGAGUGGAAUUCCAUGUGUAGCGGUGAAAUGCGUAGAUAUAUGGAGGAACACCAGUGGCGAAAGCGACUCUCUGGUCUGUCACUGACGCUGAGGCUCGAAAGCGUGGGUAGCGAACAGGAUUAGAUACCCUGGUAGUNCACGCCGUAAACGAUGAGUGCUAGGUGUUAGGCCCUUUCCGGGGCUUAGUGCCGGAGCUAACGCAAUAAGCACUCCGCCUGGGGAGUACGACCGCAAGGUUGAAACUCAAAGGAAUUGACGGGGGCCCGCACAAGCGGUGGAGCAUGUGGUUUAAUUCGAAGCAACGCGAAGAACCUUACCAGGUCUUGACAUCCCGAUGCUAUUCUUAGAGAUAGGAAGUUACUUCGGUACAUCGGAGACAGGUGGUGCAUGGUUGUCGUCAGCUCGUGUCGUGAGAUGUUGGGUUAAGUCCCGCAACGAGCGCAACCCUUAUUGUUAGUUGCCAUCAUUAAGUUGGGCACUCUAGCGAGACUGCCGGUAAUAAACCGGAGGAAGGUGGGGAUGACGUCAAAUCAUCACGCCCCUUAUGACCUGGGCUACACACGUGCUACAAUGGUCGGUACAACGAGUUGCGAGCCGGUGACGGCAAGCUAAUCUCUGAAAGCCGAUCUCAGUUCGGAUUGGAGGCUGCAACUCGCCUCCAUGAAGUCGGAAUCGCUAGUAAUCGCGGAUCAGCACGCCGCGGUGAAUACGUUCCCGGGCCUUGUACACACCGCCCGUCACACCACGAGAGUUUGUAACACCCGAAGUCGGUGAGGUAACCU